CAGGAAAGAGAUCUUCGUGUAAACAGAGUCCCCCUGAUUGGCUGACGCGAAGAGUCAUUCUGAGAUCAGUAGUUUUCAACAGCAGUGGUGUCGUGCUCAGGGGAUAUCUGGCAAUGUCCGAAGACCUUUGACUGAGGUCAAGAGGAACAGCAUCGAUUGCUAAUAUGCUGUCUGCUUUCAACCCCCAAAGGAUUAUUUUCAGAAUGAAAUGAUCUGUGGUCUUUAAGUGGUGGGGAUGGGAGGAGCUGAAGAAUUCUUGAUCCUUCGAAGAGGUCCCAGUGGACUUGAUUUCUCAGUGGAAACAAAGGGAUUUCCUUCCUCAGUGGGAAAGAGACACCAAGUGAUAAACCGAGCACCCUCUUUGAAGAUUUCCCUGUAUAUUUGUCCCUAGAGGAGUGCGCCUCCGGGAGAUUUAUUGUUGGAAGCUUUUAGCCUCAAGCAUAAUUUUUAAAAGUAUGUAUUUCCCUAGAAACAGAGUAGCUCCAUUUAAAAGUCACAGGUGCCCCCAAGCUCUGCUCGGAAGAUUACCUCAAGUUUCAUUUCAUACCCGUCUCAGACCUGGAGGCAAAUUACUUAGUUCAUCACUCUGAAAAUGGAUUUUUUUCCCUUCUACUUCCCGUUUCCGUACCUGCCAUCUUGUGGAAAGGGACGUGCUUCCCAAGAGAUGAGAAAUGGACAGGAGUGAAGCCUGAGUCCAAGCACUGUGAUUUUUUAUCUCCCACGAAUGUGCAGGAAUAUUUAGUCAGGGAGAUCAUCUUCCUGGAGAAAUUUGUCCAUCCUACUCCUGGAGUGCUGUGUUAGUUGUAGUUGCUCCGGUGCCAGCUCGAAGACCAGGGUCAGAGUACAGUCGCCUAUGUGGGAGGUUAAGCCACAAAACACUGGCAGAAGAAGGGGAAAAUAAGACAAGGAUGCGAAGGCAAUCAGGAAAGGGCAUGUCAUGAAGCAAGGCACUGUUCUGGGCAAUUGGAGCUUACACCUGCUGGGGAAGCCUGAGAUAGUGGGGAACAUGUGCCUCACAGUGACGCUCGUGAGGGCCGGGGGAACUGGGGUAUUAAUACACCAAUUCCAUCUGUUAUUGAUUGAGGGCUGCUUACUGGUGGUAUUGAGUCCCUGGCACUUCAGGUCAGAGAAAGCCCUCGAUCAUAGAGAACAUCAAGCCAUGGGACCUGGAGUGCCAAGGGCUGAGUGGAUGUGGGCAAUGGCCAAUGACAAUAGCUACCAUCUGUGGAUUGAAUCUUCGGCAUCUCAUUUCUUCUAAGUCUCCUUAAUCUCUGUGCUUGGUGCUGAGGUGAAGCAAACAAUAAAGAUCCAGUGUUGUCCUUAGGAUGCUCACACUUCAGUGAGUGAGUCGAGGAAGCUAAACAGGUACAUAUCUGGGUACUGGAGAUGCAGCAGAAAAUAAGACAAGCAAAACUUCCAGAUCUCCUGGAGCUUGUAGUCUAACAGGUGAGGCAGACAAUAAACCAGAUGCUUGGCUAAAAUGUGUGUAUUUGAGAUAAUAAUAUGUUAAAGAACAAAAUGAAGGAGGGUGGCGAGUGGGGAAUUUCUCUGACUAGGAUAAGAAGAGGGUUGUAACUUCAGAUAGGUUGGCUAGGGAGGGCUGGGUUGAGACAAGUCUUCCGAGGGAAGAUUGUAAAGAAGUGAGGGAACAAGUUCUGAGGUUGCCUGAGAGAGGCAACUUCCAAGUUCUUGGAAGAGCACCUGUUAGUGCUCCAAGAAGGAGCCACGGCUCAUGUCUUGGGAACAUUGUGUUCCUGGUUGGUGUGCCUGGAGUAAGUGAAGGGGCAAUGGGAGGAAGGGGGAUCCCAGUGACGCAGGUCUCGUUGGUCAUUGUGGGGAUGUUGGCUUUUAUGGCAAGUGACGUAGAGGCCAGUGGAUGAUUGUGAGUAGAGGGGUGCCUUGACGUGAGUUGCAUUCCAACAGGAUUAUUUUGGCUGCUGUGAGGAUAACAUGAUGUGGAUCAGGCAAGUAAGGAGUCCAGUGUCAUAAUACAUAGGAGCAACAUUGGUGGCUUAGAUAAGGGAGAUAGAAAUGGACAGGGUUGUUUCCCGACACAAUACUGUUCUUUUGUCUGCUUACUCUUGUUUCUCCAUUUCUAGCAAUAGUUACGAAUUCAUAAUUCCUGUUGACAUUUCCUGCACUUUCAUGAGUUUCUUGAGCCCUGUCUGUUUCCCCAGUUUCAUUAUUAUCAAACAGCUCAGCUGUGAUAGACUGCUGAUCUUCAUCUUCAUAUUGAUUAAUUUCAUUUUCACAUGCAUCACCCGCGUUUUCCACGUCUUCUGCACAGUUUUCAGAUGAUGAGUCAUUUGCGAACGACAGAUUUUCAUUAUAGGAGUCAUCUUUGGAGCAGGAUGUGUUGGACUAGACUCAGGGAAUGCAAAUUGAAAUACUUCUCAAGAUUCAUCAGCCAAAGUAACUGGGUGAAUCGGGCAUAUGUAAGAAAACAGGGACUGGAGGGUACUGUCUUGCUGAACUCUACAGGGAUAAGCCAAGGUCAGUGCCAUUUGGUAGUUAUCCUGCCUAAAUGUGGUUUCAGUAUUAACAGAUUUCCUUAAAAGAAGUCAGAAAUCUAUAUUAUUAUGGGCACUCUGAUAUUUAAUUGUUUUUUUCAUGUUUAGAGCAACAAAAUAGAUCUUUGACCCAGAUCCAAUUCAAAUUGUCUGGUUUGUAACUCCUGAUUCACAAAGAUACCUUUGCACUUUCUGUAUUUAUGAUGCUUCUUUUAUCUGCUUUCAGUGAGAACAACCACAUGGGACUCUGUAUAGUUCAAGCUUACUAUAACUGACAGUAAAGAAUCUUACUUAGGAAAAGUAAUAAAAUACUUUUUCCUUCUUCUAUAACAAAAUGCCAUAGACCA
This is a long non-coding RNA of Cercocebus atys (sooty mangabey), 2857 nucleotides long. RefSeq lists it as uncharacterized. The record is from RefSeq and is a predicted model, not a curated record. The transcript has 5 exons. NCBI's taxonomy places the organism in Eukaryota, Metazoa, Chordata, Mammalia, Primates, Cercopithecidae.